This 303-nucleotide ribosomal RNA is filed under the name uncultured bacterium. Its description in RNAcentral is "partial 16S ribosomal RNA". It matches the Rfam family "Bacterial small subunit ribosomal RNA", at positions 507 to 807 of the family's 1533-position model. The record is from RNAcentral.
AGCAGUAGCCGCGGGAAUACGAAGGGGGCUAGCGUUGUCCGGAUUUACUGGGCGUAAAGCGCACGCAGGCGGAUCGAUCAGUCAGGGGUGAAAUCCCAGAGCUCAACUCUGGAACUGCCUUUGAUACUGUCGAUCUGGAGUAUGGAAGAGGUGAGUGGAAUUCCGAGUGUAGAGGUGAAAUUCGUAGAUAUUCGGAGGAACACCAGUGGCGAAGGCGGCUCACUGGUCCAUUACUGACGCUGAGGUGCGAAAGCGUGGGGAGCAAACGGGAUUAGAUACCCGAGUAGUCCCUGUCUCUUAUAC